UUUUUUUUUAAAUUAUGUUUUCUUUAGAUUUGGAUUGUCGCAUGAAUUGAGUUGUUAAUAAUGUUUAGGUGAGUCAUCAACUAGUGGUUUCUGGGUAUGUAGUUUGUAGGAGAGUCACAUUAUUUGUCAUGCCUAAUUUGUAUUUCAUGUACUCUUAUUAUUCCAAUUUUAUAUGCACUCAAUUUUCGGGUCAUAAUGGUAGCAUG
This 206-nucleotide unclassified non-coding RNA is filed under the name Hevea brasiliensis (rubber tree). The record is from RNAcentral. Lineage: Eukaryota; Viridiplantae; Streptophyta; Magnoliopsida; Malpighiales; Euphorbiaceae.